This 253-nucleotide ribosomal RNA is filed under the name uncultured bacterium. Its description in RNAcentral is "partial 16S ribosomal RNA". It matches the Rfam family "Bacterial small subunit ribosomal RNA", at positions 524 to 776 of the family's 1533-position model. The record is from RNAcentral.
UACGAAGGGUGCAAACGUUGCUCGGAAUUAUUGGGCGUGAAGCGCACGUAGGCGGCUUAGCAAGUCGGAAGUGAAAUCCCACGGCUCAACCAUGGAAGUGCUUUCGAAACUGCUGAGCUUGAGUACUUAAGAGGAUCGCGGAAUUCCCGGUGUAGAGGUGAAAUUCGUAGAUAUCGGGAGGAACACCAGUGGCGAAGGCGGCGAUCUGGGAAGAUACUGACGCUGAGGUGCGAAAGCGUGGGGAGCAAACAGG